Molecule: ribosomal RNA, 221 nt
Filed under: Shigella flexneri
Lineage: Bacteria; Pseudomonadati; Pseudomonadota; Gammaproteobacteria; Enterobacterales; Enterobacteriaceae
Description: partial 23S ribosomal RNA
Rfam family: Bacterial large subunit ribosomal RNA
Source: RNAcentral
GUCGAGUCGGCCUGCGCGGAAGAUGUAACGGGGCUAAACCAUGCACCGAAGCUGCGGCAGCGACGCUUAUGCGUUGUUGGGUAGGGGAGCGUUCUGUAAGCCUGUGAAGGGGUGCUGUGAGGUAUGCUGGAGGUAUCAGAAGUGCGAAUGCUGACAUAAGUAACGAUAAAGCGGGUGAAAAGCCCGCUCGCCGGAAGACCAAGGGUUCCUGUCCAACGUUA